Molecule: ribosomal RNA, 427 nt
Filed under: uncultured bacterium
Lineage: Bacteria
Description: partial 16S ribosomal RNA
Rfam family: Bacterial small subunit ribosomal RNA
Source: RNAcentral
UGGGGAAUAUUGCACAAUGGGCGCAAGCCUGAUGCAGCCAUGCCGCGUGUAUGAAGAAGGCCUUCGGGUUGUAAAGUACUUUCAGCGGGGAGGAAGGCGAUAAGGUUAAUAACCUUGUCGAUUGACGUUACCCGCAGAAGAAGCACCGGCUAACUGCGUGCCAGCAGCCGCGGUAAUACGGAGGGUGCAAGCGUUAAUCGGAAUUACUGGGCGUAAAGCGCACGCAGGCGGUCUGUCAAGUCGGAUGUGAAAUCCCCGGGCUCAACCUGGGAACUGCAUUCGAAACUGGCAGGCUAGAGUCUUGUAGAGGGGGGUAGAAUUCCAGGUGUAGCGGUGAAAUGCGUAGAGAUCUGGAGGAAUACCGGUGGCGAAGGCGGCCCCCUGGACAAAGACUGACGCUCAGGUGCGAAAGCGUGGGGAGCAAACA